RNAcentral lists this ribosomal RNA (468 nucleotides) under uncultured bacterium. Its description in RNAcentral is "partial 16S ribosomal RNA". It matches the Rfam family "Bacterial small subunit ribosomal RNA", at positions 28 to 507 of the family's 1533-position model. The record is from RNAcentral.
GAUGAACGCUGGCGGCGUGCUUAACACAUGCAAGUCGAACGGAAAGGCCAGUGCUUGCACUUGUACUCGAUUGGCGAACGGGUGAGUAACACGUGUGUGAUCUGCCCUGCACUUCGGGAUAAGCCUGGGAAACUGGGUCUAAUACCGGAUAGGACAAUGGGUUGGAUGCUGUUGUGGAAAGUUUUUGCGGUGUGGGAUGAGCGCGCGGCCUAUCAGCUUGUUGGUGGGGGAAUGGUCUACCAAGGCGUCGGCGGGUAGCCGGCCUGAGAGGGUGUACGACGAGAUGGGGACUUAGAUAAGGGGCAGACUCCGGAAGGCGGCGGCAGGGGGGAAUAUUGAACAAUGGGCGAAGGGCGGAUGCAGAGACGCCGCGUGGGGGAUGAAGGAAUUCGGGUUGCAAAGUCCUGUCGCCAGGGAAGAAGCGUAUUUGUGACGGUACCUGAAGAAGAAGCACCGGCUAACUACGUG